AAUAAUUUGGCGGUGAUAUAUAACGUCAGCUAGACAAAAUAGGUCAAUUUGUAAAAUGGUAUUGCACGUAAAUCGCUGCGACAUUUGGCUCACUCGCCCUCAAACGCCUGGAAAGCAUUUUCUUGCCGUGUAUCGGCCGGUGAAAUGCCGUGAGUGAGUAAGACGAGGACAGCGCGAUCGAUUGUUCGUCCUUGUCAAACUGACUCGACCCAACCUUCCUGCCCUUGCGCUCGCGCGUACGGUGUUGGUUCGCGAUCUCGCCGCUCGAGGCCUCCAAAGUCAACGCUGGAUUUGUCUCUGGGGCUCCUGCAGACCCUUAAUCGCUGCAUGUGGUUGGCUGCUCUGCGACCUAACCUGUCAGAAGUGAAGCGGAUUUGAGGUCGUGAGUAGUUCUUGAAUACUCGUAUAUUCGUUUUAAGUAUUCGUGUGAUUUUGUUGCGCUCGUUGCGCGUUGCUACUGGGGUACUGGAGACGUAGUGUGUAGAAGAAGAAGAAUUCGACGGUAUAUUCUUCUGGAAGAAAAGCGCAACGUCGACGUCGUGCGUCCGACGUUCGCUGAUCGCGGAACAAAGCUGGCUACUGCGUUUUCCCGAGUUAUCUAUCGGUCGUCACUGCCUGUUAUGCGGUGAACGUCGACAGAAAUUAUAGUAAUACAUAGUAACAGUGACGCUCACUCGACAAGCAUAUAGAAACAAAAUGUCUGGGCAUAGAGGCAGUGGAGGAGCUGGAAGUCAUCAUGGAGGCCCUCCAGGUCUAAAACAGAUUGACUUGGAUCAAAUUUGGGGAGAUUUACGUGAAGGCAUAGAACAAGUUUACAAUAGACAGUGUAUGUCAAAACCAAGAUAUAUAGAAUUAUAUACACAUGUAUAUGAUUAUUGUACAAGUGUUCAUCAACAAUUGACUAGAGCAUCAACCAAGAGUAAGAAAGGGCAAAUCUCACAAGGAGGUGCACAAUUAGUAGGAUUGGAACUAUACAAACGUCUACGUGACUUUCUUAGGAAUUAUCUUAUUAGUUUACUUAAACAUGGGAUUGACUUGAUGGAUGAAGAUGUACUACAAUUUUAUACAAGACAAUGGGAAGAAUAUCAGUUUAGUAGUAAAGUAUUAAAUGGUGUAUGUGCAUAUCUCAAUCGUCAUUGGGUACGCAGAGAAUGUGAGGAAGGGCGGAAAGGAAUUUAUGAAAUUUAUCAAUUAGCCUUGGUUACCUGGAGAGAUAAUUUAUUUAAGCAUUUAAACAAACAGGUUACUAGUGCAGUGCUUAAAUUAAUUGUUCGAGAACGUAAUGGAGAAACAAUUAAUACCCGAUUAGUCAGUGGUGUUAUAAAUUGUUAUGUAGAAUUGGGCUUAAAUGAAGAAGAUCCAGGUGCAAAAGGACAAAACCUAACAGUAUAUAAAGAUUCCUUUGAAAAUCAAUUCCUUGAAGAUACAGAACGUUUCUACUCUAAUGAAAGUUUAAAUUUUCUCAGACAAAAUCCUGUAACAGAAUAUAUGAAAAAGGCGGAACAGAGGUUAUUAGAAGAACAAAAACGAGUUCGCGUUUAUCUACAUCAAACAACUCAUGAACGAUUAGCGAAAACAUGUGAAAGAGUGCUCAUUGAAAAACAUCUAGAUAUAUUUCAUUCUGAGUUCCAGAAUCUUUUGAAUGCUGAUAAAAAUACAGAUUUAGGCAGAAUGUACCAAUUAGUAGCAAGGAUACCGAAUGGCCUUGGAGAAUUAAGAAAUCUUUUAGAAACUCAUAUAGCUAAUCAAGGACUUGCAGCUAUAGAUAAAUGUGGCGACUCUGCGGCUAAUGACCCGAAAGUUUAUGUGAAUACAAUUUUGGAAGUACACAAAAAAUAUAAUGCUUUAGUGCUUGUCGCAUUUAAUAACGAUAGUGGUUUUGUGGCAGCUCUGGAUAAGGCUUGCGGUCGAUUCAUUAAUGCGAAUUCUGUUACAAGAGCAGCAAACAGUAGCAGUAAGUCGCCCGAAUUAUUAGCAAAAUAUUGUGACUUGUUGCUUAAGAAGAGCAGUAAAAAUCCAGAAGAAGCAGAGCUUGAAGAUACUCUCAAUCAAGUCAUGGUAGUAUUUAAAUACAUCGAAGACAAAGAUGUAUUUCAAAAAUUUUAUAGCAAAAUGUUAGCAAAACGAUUGGUGCAACAUAUGUCUGCCAGUGAUGACGCAGAGGCUUCAAUGAUCUCUAAGUUAAAACAAGCUUGUGGAUUUGAAUAUACUUCGAAGUUACAACGCAUGUUUCAGGAUAUUGGUGUAUCAAAAGAUCUAAAUGAACAGUUCAGGAGACACUUAGUAAGAUCUGCUGAACCAUUAGAUGUGGAUUUCAGUAUACAAGUUUUAUCUUCUGGUUCAUGGCCAUUUCAACAAUCCUUCACAUUUUCUUUACCAACAGAGCUAGAACGAUCUGUACAUAGGUUUACUACUUUCUAUAGCUCACAACAUAGUGGUAGAAAGUUAAAUUGGUUAUACAAUAUGUCUAAAGGGGAACUGCAUACUAACUGUUUUAAGAACAGGUAUACAUUGCAAGCCUCGACUUUCCAAAUGGCAGUUUUAUUACAAUAUAAUGGAUCUACAUCAUGGACAAUACAGCAACUGCAUUAUGCAACGCAAAUAAAAAUGGAUUUUUUAUUACAGGUUAUUCAAAUACUUCUAAAAGCCAAACUUUUAACUGCAGCUAGCGAUGAUGUAGCUGAACUGACCCCACUAUCAACGGUAGAACUUUUCACGGGGUACAAGAAGUUGAACAAGAAACUACACACAAACAUAUAGAAGAAGACAGAAAACUUUUAAUUCAGGCAGCAAUUGUUAGAAUUAUGAAAAUGCGAAAAGUAUUGAAACAUCAACAAUUGGUAGCAGAAGUCUUGAAUCAGUUAAGUUCCAGAUUCAAGCCAAGAGUACAUGUUAUUAAGAAAUGUAUAGAUAUUUUAAUUGAAAAAGAAUAUUUGGAGCGCACAGAGGGUCAGAAGGAUACUUAUAGCUACCUGGCAUGAUCAGUCGAUCUGGGACAACGAUACAGCAGCAAUCAUAUAUGCAUAAUAAAAAAAAUCUUAUAUUAUCAUUGCCACAUACGUAUCAUAUUUAUUUAAGUGUCAAAAUUAACUUUUGCACUUUUUUUCUGUACAUGGAUGCCUUUGUACAUUGUUGUCCUUCUGGUCGCAUUUAGAAUGUCUGAUUACACACGCAUACACACACAUAUACGUAUAUAUACACACAUAUGCAUACGUGUGUGUGUGUGU
RNAcentral lists this unclassified non-coding RNA (3227 nucleotides) under Harpegnathos saltator (Jerdon's jumping ant). RNAcentral describes it as "cullin-1, transcript variant X2". The record is from RNAcentral. Lineage: Eukaryota; Metazoa; Arthropoda; Insecta; Hymenoptera; Formicidae.